ACGUCGCCUGUUUUUCAAAAACAUCACCUCUAGCAUUACAAGUAUUAGAGGCACUGCCUGCCCAGUGACACACGUUAAACGGCCGCGGUAUCCUGACCGUGCAAAGGUAGCAUAAUCACUUGUUCCUUAAUUAGGGACUUGCAUGAAAGGCAAGACGAGGGCUUAACUGUCUCUUACUUCCAAUCAGUGAAAUUGACCUACCCGUGAAGAGGCGGGUAUAAAUAAAUAAGACGAGAAGACCCUGUGGAGCUUUAAUUAAUUAUCCUACCUACCAAGACUAUGAACCUACUGGAUUAAUAAACAUAAAGAGCUAGGAGAAAAAUUUCGGUUGGGGUGACCUCGGAGCAUAAAAAAACCUCCGAAUGACUUAACUCUAGGCUUACUAGCCUAAAGAUGCCCAAGCAGUCAACAAUUGAUCCAAAAAUAAAAUUGAUCAACGGACCAAGUUACCCUAGGGAUAACAGCGCAAUCCUAUUUAAGAGUCCCUAUCGACAAUAGGGUUUACGACCUCGAUGUUGGAUCAGGACACCCAAAUGGUGCAACCGCUAUUAAUGGUUCGUUUGUUCAACGAUUAAAGUCCUACGUGAUCUG
RNAcentral lists this ribosomal RNA (591 nucleotides) under Nannospalax montanosyrmiensis. Its description in RNAcentral is "LSU rRNA". It matches the Rfam family "Bacterial large subunit ribosomal RNA", at positions 1793 to 2607 of the family's 2925-position model. Lineage: Eukaryota; Metazoa; Chordata; Mammalia; Rodentia; Spalacidae. The record is from RNAcentral.